This 305-nucleotide unclassified non-coding RNA is filed under the name plant metagenome. Its description in RNAcentral is "partial contains 5.8S ribosomal RNA, internal transcribed spacer 2, and large subunit ribosomal RNA". The stretch from base 1 to 105 matches the Rfam family "5.8S ribosomal RNA", at positions 50 to 154 of the family's 154-position model. The record is from RNAcentral.
GAAAUGCGAUAAGUAAUGUGAAUUGCAGAAUUCAGUGAAUCAUCGAAUCUUUGAACGCACAUUGCGCCCGCCAGUAUUCUGGCGGGCAUGCCUGUCCGAGCGUCAUUUCAACCAUCAAGCCCCCGGGCUUGUGUUGGGGACCUGCGGCUGCCCGCAGGCCCUGAAAACCAGUGGCGGGCUCGCUGUCACACCGAGCGUAGUAGCAAUCACCUCGCUCGGGCGUGCUGCGGGUUCCGGCCGUUAAACAGCCUUACAAAACCCAAGGUUGACCUCGGAUCAGGUAGGAAGACCCGCUGAACUUAAGC